UCUUGAUUUUGAAACAGAAGACGGAUAUUUUGGAGAACCUAAAUUGAAGAGGUCAUUUCCCUCUGUAAAAAUUCCCACUUAUGAGUUUUGAUGGUAACUUCAAUUAAAGAAAAAAGACAUAGCUCGAUCUCAUCCCAAUACACUGACAUGGCAAAUAAUCAUAAGACUGAUUGAGUCGGUUUGGCGUAGCAAUUCCAGAUUCUUUGUUGCAAACUGAACAACUUGCUUUGUUCAGUUUCAACAAGUUGUGGUGUGGUAAGAUUAACUGUGGUCUAUUGCAGCAAGUUGAACAUAAACUUGUUUUGCUAUGAUUACAGAUUUGAAAACCAUCCAGAAGUUAUUGUUGAACCUGCAAGAGAUGAUGUUGUUCAGGUUGCUAAUUCUAUGAAGCUAUUUUUCCUUUUUGUUUCCUGCCGCAUGAAAUAAAUAGAGUUCAUUCUAUGAUUGAUCAGGUUAAAAAUAAUGAGAUCAAAGGAGGAGGGAAAAAAACAUAUUUAUUCCAUCGAUGUCAGUUGCCAAGUUAUUAAGAUCAAGAUCGAACAAGGAAAAACAAGCAACACAUGGAACAAAAGAAGUGGAAACAAUUAAAGCAACCCUAUCAACUUUACAAGAAAGUUAAUUUAUUUGCUCAUUAGGGUUUGCAUGUUACUUCGUAUAUGAUUAAAGUACACAUUUAUUAGAAAUUGACGAAUCUUUAAUUCGCGUUUGCUAGACCUUCAACGACAAAUGGCGUUAAAGGAUAGGCAAAACAAUAGUCUCCAUGGAGAGCAUGAUGAGAGGCAACUUGUUGAGAACAAUGAUAAUGCUUUAGAAGAUCAAGAAGGCGGUAACAAUAUAGACGAGAAAAGAAACUAUGAUUUAGAAGAUCAAGAAAAUAAUAUCAUUUCAAACAUGUUGAGAAACCAUGAUGAGGAGACACUUGCUGACAAGGAGGGGGAAGAGGAUAAUUCUGGUAUGACUUAUUUUAUACUCUCUAAUUUAAAAAAAAUUCUUCAUUUGCGAUGGUAUUGAGUCAGGUUUAAGCUAUAUAUACAUGUAUUAGAGAAAACAAGAUAAAUAAGAAAACAUACAAGACCGUCACUCCUAGAGGUCCUACAAGAAAUCUUCAAAUGGCAAAAAUGAGACCCGAUGAGAAGAAAAAAGUGGAUUUCAACAUAAAAGGCCAACCUAUUGGUGUGAAUAGAGCUUGUCUUGCAAGUUAUUGUGGCUCCCUUGUUAGAGAUCCUCUUAAUGCCCCACUUCAAAAGUUGAAAGUAUUUUCAAAAAUUCCAGAAGAGAAUAAGGAGAAGAUGUGGGAUCUUGUUCUGGAAAAAUUUGAUAUUGGACUUGAGGAUGAUCAAGAUGAAGGGGAACGUGAAAAAAUAAAAAAAGAAAGGAAAAAGUACAUCAUGGGGUCUUUGAAUAAAAAAUACAGGAAUUAUCGUGCAAGACUAAAAGCUGAUUAUUAUGAUAUUGAGAGCACAAACGAGGAGAGGCUUAUAGAAGAAAACAAGCCACCAAAUGUUGACAAAGAUGACUGGGAACGGCUUGUUUAGUACUUUGGAUCAGACGAGUUUAAGGGUAAGAGUACAAGAAAUACCGAAAAUCGAUCUUACCAAGAUGCCGGACACACUUCUGGUACAAAGAGUUUUGCUCAAAAACUUGAAGACAUGUAAUGCCGACCAUGCUGAAAUUGGACGAGGAAACUCAUUCAAAAAAUUACAAGACACUGGUUACUGAAGUGGCAAAAGAAACUAUGUAAAAAUGAACGAGCUUUUAGUGCAACGUGAGGAGGGAGAAAUAAAUAUGGCUGAUGAAGAAAUCUAUGCAAAAGUUAAGCCCAUUGGUAAACGUGGUCAUGAUCGUGGCAAGGGAGUAAGCCCCUCCAUUACAUCAUUAUAGGUCAUUAAGUGAAGGAGAAAAACUGCGAAAAGAAGCUAAUGAGGCAAAGGAGGCCAAUGUGAAAAAUGAAGUACUUACUAGAGAGAUGAAAGUCAUGAAAAAAAAUAUGGAACUUAUGAAAGGGUUCAUGGGAAAAUAUUUGAUCGUUUGGGUUUUGAUAUGGAUGAGAAGGGGAUGGGGAUGGGGAUGGGGAUGAGGAGGAGGAUGAGGAUGAGGAUGUGGACGAAGAGCAUGGUGAGCUGUUUCGCUGAUCUGCUGUUGUUGUUAUGCUGAUCUGCGGCUGCUGUUAUGCUGUAAGCUGCUGUCUGCUGCUAUUGCUGUAAACUACUGCUACUGUUAUUGUUGUAAACUGCUGCUGCUACUGCUGUAAACUGCUGAUGUUGUUGUAAGCUGCUGCUGUAAACUACUGCUACUGUUAUUGUUGUAAACUGCUGCUGCUACUGCUGUAAACUGCUGAUGUUGUUGUAAGCUGCUGCUGUAAACUGUUGAUGUUGUUGUAAGCUGCUGCUGUAAACUGUUGAUGUUGUUGUAAGCUGCUGCUGUAAGCUGUUGUAACUGCUGUAAGCUGCUGUAACUGCUGUAUGGUGCUGCUGUGGUUGCUGUAAGUUGUUGUAUGCUGCUGUCUUGCUGUUGUUUUACCGUUUUUUUAGACUUGGUUUGACUUUUCAGUGACUUUUUUUAUGCACCAACCUAGGGAAUAUUUAAACCGUCGGGAGUGAUAGAAAUAUCUGAAUAUACCAAUCAGACAUCUUCUAAUACAUGUUAUUUUUGUGGUUUUUGUUUGUUUUGGGCUUGCUCAUUGUUGCAAGCUCUAAGAUGUUUUUUUGUUUGAGAUUGGACAAAAAUUGGUUAUCUUAUUAAUAAGAUUAUUGGAGUUGAUAAAUAUUCGAUUCUUAUGAAAUUUGGUGGUUACUUUUGCUAUUUUAUCAAUACACUAACUUUAUUUUCACUGCCUCUAAACACCUUUUAUGACAAUA
Molecule: long non-coding RNA, 2858 nt
Organism: Spinacia oleracea (spinach)
Lineage: Eukaryota; Viridiplantae; Streptophyta; Magnoliopsida; Caryophyllales; Amaranthaceae
Exons: 8
Source: RefSeq, a predicted model, not a curated record